RNAcentral lists this long non-coding RNA (2819 nucleotides) under Sus scrofa (pig). Its description in RNAcentral is "lncRNA (ENSSSCG00015052444.1, ENSSSCG00040002831.1, ENSSSCG00050057300.1)". The record is from RNAcentral. Lineage: Eukaryota; Metazoa; Chordata; Mammalia; Artiodactyla; Suidae.
GGUUUCAACUCUGGACCUCUGACCUUCUGCAUGCUGCAGCCAAAAAGAAAAAAGAAAAAAAUACUAAUAAAAACUUUUCCAGCUGGGAAUUGGAGAUUGGUACUUGUCAUCUGCCUCUACAAGGAUUGACUCAUGAGCAUCUGACCCUCAACACCUCCGGAAAGAGAAGUUCAUGGUGAUCAGAGUGAGACACUCUGCUCUGAGAAAACUGGCAGAACAGGUCUUCAGAUAUUUCCCGGAUGAGGCUUUAUGAGCACAAUUCUCGCAUCUCCUUGUAUCUAGAGAAGCAACUAAAAUCCUUCAGUGGUGACACCUGCUCCUUGUAACUAACAGAAACCUUCUGUAAAAAUGUGUGCUUGGUUGCAUGUAUCUCUCCCCUUCACCAAAAAACAUACGUAGACAUCCCCCUCCCCCUCCGGAGAUUUUCACAGCUAUCUGAAAUGCUGCCUUCCCUGAUUAUAGUGAUUUUGCCCCAAAUAAAACACUCACAACUCUCCUAACACUGUGAAUUUUAAGAAAACUUUUUGUGAGUCUUCUUAGGGCCAUUACACAUGGUAUAUAGAGGUUCCCAGGCUAGGGGUUGAAUCGGGGCUGUAGCUGCUGACCUACGCCACAGCAACGCGGGCUCCAAACCGUGUCUGCGACCUACACCACAGCUCAUGGCAACGCCAGAUCCUUAACCUACUGAGUAAGGCCAGGGAUUGCACCCGUGUCCUCAGGGAUGCUGGUUGGGAACACCACAUGGUGAAUUUUUUAAAGGAAAGAUACAACCAAAACUGAUAAGUCUUGAGUAUAUUAUAUUGAGUAUAUAAUUUUGAGUAUAUUAUUAAGAUAUAUGGGUGCACAUCAACCUAGAAGAGUUGAUUAUGGUUGUGUUUGUAGAGCUGUUACUGGUUUCAUCUCCAGAUUGGACUGGAAAUAGGUGAUUCUUGUUUUCAGACCUGUAUAGUUAUUCAACAGCUUAGUUACAGUGUAGGGUAUCUAUUUUUAAUUAUAUCUUUGAUGAGAAUGUAAAUAUGGGGGGAGGAAUUCUGAAAGACACACACUGUGCAAUUAACAGGGAAUGGCAUGACCAUUAAGGCUGGUGGCCAAAUCGGACUUUCCUCAUUUGCUGAGCACCCACUAUGUGCCAGAUACUGUUCCUCAGGCUGGAAAUACAGACACGAGAGAGACAAGAAAGACCCUGCUCACAUUCCAGUGGUGGAGACGGAAAUGCAACCGUGAUAAGAUACAAGCAUCUGGAUCCAUCAUGAUGCGUGCGUGCAGCACACUUAGGCAGGGAAGGGGAACAGGGCAUGGGGAGGGGGAGGGAUCCACACCUUCAGGUACUCUGUACAGCGGAAGCCUCACCCAACAGGGGACAUCAAGGCCUGAAGGAAGUGAUGAGGUGGGGUGAUCUGGGGGAUGAUCCUGUGAGGAUCACGUCCUGUGGGCCUCUUUCUCAUGUCACAGGGUUAAGUCAUUUGGACAGCGACACAUAGGUGUUCACCUUCCCGUUUUGGAGCAGGAGGUGCAGUGAUGUAUUUUGUCAGUAGGGAGCUGGUCAAUUUAGGGCCGGGAUUUACCUUGGUGAUUUACAUCAUAUGCAUAUACGAAGACCUUUGCCACUCUGAAUAAAUCGAGGCUCCAGCCGUGCAUACUAAGUGUGCGCUCCUACAAAAUGGAUCUUUUUGGAAGAAGAGUAUAGAUUGGUCCAAACAGAAUAUCUUAAGUGGCUCGGUCCAGUUUUGUUAAGUUGUUGACAGCUACGUGGGUGACAGUGCUGAACUAGACCCCAGACCCCAGCUGUCACUUGCCCCUUGUGCUGGGACACCCAUCCCUCAUUGGAAUGAAUCAGUUAGAAGUGGGAGCACGUUUCUGUGCCCGUGGCUAUAGGGUUAAGAGGUUAUUUAUUUCACUCAUCUCUGGGUCAGUAGUUUUGGUCAGCAGAAAGGCUGAUCAGUAUCUCUGAGCACCAGCCUAAAUCCCAGCAGAUCACAGUAUGAAGCGCCUAAAUGGUCACAGUGGCUUACAUCACAAUGGGGUGGCCAGUAUGAAAGUCCAGACCACUGUUUAGGCCUAGCCUUACUUCUCCUGAGGGUAGGCAGUGGCUGGCUGGGUUUCUUUGUAUAGAGCUAGAAAAAGACGGGUGUUUUUCUUUCUUUCUUUCUGUCACGCUGAAUUCUUCCGCAGGGAAAUUAAUUUGUGUCUGUGGCAAAGGUAGUCAACAAUUCUCUCCUUUUGCAGGUCCCAGUUUGUUAAGGAAAUCGAAGGGUGUGAUCAACAGCUCGUGCACUGCCGUGCUGCGAACCCAGAGUUCAGGCACUGACGUGGCGCUUCUGAUGGGUCCAAAAGUGAAACUGUCUGACAACCACAGAUUAACAGAAGGACGACAUACAAAUUUAUUUGAUGUUUUAUGUGACAUGGGAUCCUUUACAUGGAAAUGAAGACCUGAUGAAACAGACUUGGGUAUUUUAUGCUAGGUUUGAUAAAGAGUGGACAAUCACGGAAGACUAUGAUAGGUUAAGAAGUAUUAGGUAAUUGUAGUAAAUGGGGAUCAUCUUAACAAAAUCUAUUUUUUUUCAGAUUAUUGACAUCCUUUCUAAUUCAGAGAUAAAGUUGCUCCUUUCCUCCCAGUAUAGGGAGAGUGCCUGUCACAUGAGGGUUUUAUUACCUGUUUCAGGGGAGAAAGACAAGUGAGGGAGAAGGUCAAAGACACCAGUCUGUUUCUGCCUUUUCUCAAACUCCCUUCAGCUUAAAAUACUAAAUGUCAGUGUGCCAAAUGGUAAAUGUCCUGAACACCAUCAGUGUACUUUACUACAAUAAAAUAAGUGACAAAU